RNAcentral lists this ribosomal RNA (497 nucleotides) under uncultured bacterium. RNAcentral's name for it is "partial 16S ribosomal RNA". It matches the Rfam family "Bacterial small subunit ribosomal RNA", at positions 28 to 507 of the family's 1533-position model. The record is from RNAcentral.
GACGAACGCUGGCGGCGUGCCUAAUACAUGCAAGUAGAACGCUGAAGAGAGGAGCUUGCUCUUCUUGGAUGAGUUGCGAACGGGUGAGUAACGCGUAGGUAACCUGCCUUGUAGCGGGGGAUAACUAUUGGAAACGAUAGCUAAUACCGCAUAACAAUGGAUGACACAUGUCAUUUAUUUGAAAGGGGCAAUUGCUCCACUACAAGAUGGACCUGCGUUGUAUUAGCUAGUAGGUGAGGUAACGGCUCACCUAGGCGACGAUACAUAGCCGACCUGAGAGGGUAAUCGGCCACACUGGGACUGAGACACGGCCCAGACUCCUACGGGAGGCAGCAGUAGGGAAUCUUCGGCAAUGGGGGCAACCCUGACCGAGCAACGCCGCGUGAGUGAAGAAGGUUUUCGGAUCGUAAAGCUCUGUUGUAAGUCAAGAACGAGUGUGAGAGUGGAAAGUUCACACUGUGACGGUAGCUUACCAGAAAGGGACGGCUAACUACGUG